Molecule: long non-coding RNA, 1329 nt
Organism: Cottoperca gobio
Lineage: Eukaryota; Metazoa; Chordata; Actinopteri; Perciformes; Bovichtidae
Source: Ensembl
UUAGUCCUUAAAACAGAUAAAGUAAUUAUUGUAGGUGACUUUAAUAUUCAUGUGGAUGUUGAUAGUGACAGCCUUAAUAAUGCAUUUAUCUCAAUAUUAGAUUCAAUUGGGUUCAGUCAAAAUGUACAUGAACCAACUCACUGUUUAAACCACACUCUGGACCUUGUUCUGGGAUAUGGUGUUGAAAUUGAAAGUUUAUCAGUGUGUCCACAUAAUCCUCUUUUAUCAGACCAUUUUUUAAUAACUUUUGAAGUUCUGUUACUGGACUACAAGCCAGUAGGCAAAAUAUCCUACGCUCGAUGUUUAUCUGAAAGUGCUGUGACUAAAUUUAAGGAAGUGAUUCCAUCAGCACUUGAUUCAAUACCAGGACUCAAUAUCAAUAUAACAGAGGACUCCAAUGCUAACUUUAGUCCCUCCCAAAUUAAUCAUCUUGUUGAUAGCGCUGCAGCCUCACUGCGAAUAACACUCGACUCUGUCGCUCCUCUUAAGAAGAAGAUCAUAAAACAGAAAAAGAAAGCUCCAUGGCUUAAUUUACAAAUCCGCAAACUAAAACAAAAGUCGAGAAAUCUUGAAAGUAAAUGGCGUUCCACUAAAUUGGAAGAAUCUCGUUUAGUCUGGUUAGAUCAUCUUAAAACGUAUAAGAAGGCUCUCCGUAAUGCCAGAGCAGCUUAUUACUCUUCCUUAAUAGAAGAAAAUAAGAACAACCCCAGGUUUCUUUUCAGCACUGUAGCCAGGCUGACAGAGAGCCACAGCUCUACAGAGCCUUCUGUUCCUAUAUCUCUCAGUAGUGACGACUUUAUGAGUUUCUUUAACGAUAAAAUUAUAAUUAUUAGAGACAAAAUUAAUCUCCUCCUGACCUCAAUUGGUAAUGACUUAACUUCAACUGUUGGAAUUUUAAAAACAUCUGUAACUCCUGAAAUAUAUCUAGACUGUUUUACUCCAAUCAACCUUAACCAACUAACUUCAACAAUCUCAUCGUCUAAACCAUCAACCUGUCUUUUAGACCCGAUUCCAACUAAACUGUUUAAAGAAGUUUUACCCUUAAUUAACACUUCGUUAUUAAAUAUGAUCAACCUGUCUCUAUUAUCUGGCUACGUACCAAAAUCCUUUAAAGUAGCUGUAAUAAAACCACUUCUUAAAAAGCCUGGUCUUGAUCCAGAGGUUUUAGCCAACUAUAGGCCGAUAUCUAACCUUCCCUUUCUCGCUAAAAUCCUUGAGAAAGCAGUCGCAAAACAGUUGUGUGACUUUUUACAUAAUAAUAGUUUAUUUGAGGUUUUUCAAUCUGGAUUUAGAGUUCACAGAGACGGCACUGGUGAAAGUUACCAAUGA